GACGAACGCUGGCGGCGUGCUUAACACAUGCAAGUCGUACGGUAAGGCCCUUUCGGGGGUACACGAGUGGCGAACGGGUGAGUAACACGUGAGUAACCUGCCCACAACUUUGGGAUAACGCUAGGAAACUGGUGCUAAUACUGGAUAUGUGCUCCUGCUGCAUGGGGGGGGUUGGAAAGCUCCGGCGGUUGUGGGUGGACUCGCGGCCUAUCAGCUUGUUGGUGGGGUAGUGGCCUACCAAGGCGGCGACGGGUAGCCGGCCUGAGGGGGUGACCGGCCACAUUGGGACUGAGAUACGGCCCAGGCUCCUACGGGAGGCAGAAGGGGGGAAGAUUGCACAAUGGGCGCAAGCCUGAUGCAGCAACGCCGCGGGCGGGAUGACGGCCUUCGGGUUGUAAACCGCUUUCAGCAGGGACGAAGCUUUUUGUGACGGUACCUGCAGAAGAAGCACCGGCUAACUACGUG
RNAcentral lists this ribosomal RNA (465 nucleotides) under uncultured bacterium. Its description in RNAcentral is "partial 16S ribosomal RNA". It matches the Rfam family "Bacterial small subunit ribosomal RNA", at positions 28 to 507 of the family's 1533-position model. The record is from RNAcentral.